GGUUGGCCUUCCAGAGAGUUUCAGGCAUAUAGCAGACAGAAUUUCUACCCAUCUACAAGUUAUGCUUUCCAUGGCAAAGCUAACUAUUAGUUUACUUUCACCUGACGAAUAAACCUGAUAACGAGCGAAUUUCACAAGCUACUGACGGUAUUUGGGUUUCUUAACACAGAAAGCAACAGAGCUUUCUACACCAUGCUGUAAAUGUUCAUCGAGUUAAUCACGUUCCUUCCAGCGCACAACUACCACUAAUGGUUCAUCGCUAGUAGGUUCAUCAGUUCAAUGAACUCUAAACAUGUGCUAAGUGCAAUUGCACAUUUUGCAUGCAGCUAGACCUGAGCUAAACCAUGCAGCCGAGGAUUAACAGGACGGAGAUCUGCUGCUGAAAAUACUCCGAGGAAUUUACCAUUAUUGUCAGCCAAUUCAUACGAGCUGGUACCUCGUCUCGCAAUAACUACGCAUGGAG
Long non-coding RNA from Sabethes cyaneus, 463 nucleotides. RefSeq lists it as uncharacterized. The record is from RefSeq and is a predicted model, not a curated record. The transcript is spliced from 3 exons. Lineage: Eukaryota; Metazoa; Arthropoda; Insecta; Diptera; Culicidae.